CGUUAAAACACCGGUUCUCGUGGGAUUACCGAAGUUAAGUAACGUUGAGCCUUGGCAGUACCUUGAUUGAUGACCGCUUGGGAAUACCAGGUUCUGUAAG
Non-coding RNA from Acanthosepion pharaonis, 100 nucleotides. The record is from the annotation of a GenBank genome assembly. Lineage: Eukaryota; Metazoa; Mollusca; Cephalopoda; Sepiida; Sepiidae.